GCUUCGAACAAUGAUUGAAGUAUUAGCACCAUUAUUAGCAAGAUCAAGUGCAAUUUCCAUGCCUGAAUUUCCACAACCAACAACUAGGACAUUUUUACCCUUAUACUUCUCACCAUUUUUGUAUUGAGUAGAAUGAAAAGCAUCUCCAGUGAAACUUGCCAAUCCAGGGACAUCAGGGGUAAAAGGGUAACUAGCUUCACCAGUAGCUACAACAAGAAAUUUACAAAAAUACUCUUCCAUUUCAUCAGAAUUACCAUUUCUAACCUUAACAUUCCAUUUUUUAGUAAAUUCAUCAAAUUUAGCAAAUUCAACAUUUCUUUUGUAAAAAGGUGUGAUAUUAAAAUGAGUAACAUAGUCAUCCAAGUAUUGAAUGAAUAGUUUUUUUGGUAUAUAAGUAGGUGAAGAAGAAGGAAAAGGAAUAUAAGGAAGUUGACAAAAUUGUUUAGCUAAAUGAAGAUGAACUCUAUCAUAAGAAUAUUUUUUCCACAUAGGAGAGUAACAAUCUUCUUUUCAAGGAUGAGAUUUGAUAUACAUAAUUUAUUUAGACAUGCAGAUGUAGCAAGACCACCAGGGCCACCACCAACAAUGAUAACCAUAGGUUCUUCAUGGUUAUCAAAUGUUGCCAUGACUAAAAUUGAGAAGAAAAUUUGUUGGUGUUGAGAAAAAAAAGAGAGGAGGGAUAUGUGUAUAUAUAUAUAUACUAGAUGACAACUUUGGAGUCAUUAGAAUUUAUUUAAUUUUUUGACUAUUUGAGGCUUCAUUUAUGGUGACAUUAAUUUUUCUUCUCCUUUUUUUAAUAUUUUGGUUUGAUUUGGUAGAUUGUGUUACACAAAUUAUUAAGUCAACACUUAUAAAUUUACAUUGCUAAAAUUACAUUUUGUCAACAAUUUAUAAGUGUUGACUUAAUAAUUUGUGCAACACAAUCUACCAAAUCAAACCAAAAUAUUUAAAAAGGGAGAAGAAAAAUUAAUAAGUCACCAUAAAUGAAGCCCCAAAUAGUCAAAAAAAAUAAAAAAUUCUUCUGAAAAAACUGAAUAAAUGACGAUAUAAAGAUUAUAUAUUACUAGUACUAACAUGACUUUCUAGUUUUCGAUAUAUAACAUUAGAUUCCUAUCAAUUCUUAACAAAUUAAUAAAUAAAUUAAAAAAUAAAAAUGAAAAAUGUUUUCUUUUUUAAAUUCUAGCGUAUUUUCCUUUAAUUAACUAGAGUAAUAUUUUUCUGCAUAAAUAUAAUAUUUUGCUAGCGUUUGAUCAUAGAUUUUCAAAUAUUUUUGGCAAAUAUUAUUUGGGUGAAAAUUUGGGCGAAAUUUCACCAUGUGUUUGACCAUAGUAUUUGGGAAACAUAUUUCACUUUUUUUGAAAAAUAUGAUUUAUACCCAUAAGUUUUAAAAACUAUCAAAACUAACUAUAAGUUUGUAUUACAAGUCAAUUGGAUCUUCGUUGCAACAAAUAACAAGUAGUGUCCAUGACAAUGGAGGAAUGUGGUAGUUUGGAGUGAGUGCAACAAGCAUUAUUCCAUACAACGUAAAGUAGACAAAGCACAUAACAUUGUUACCCUGAGCCGAUUGUUCAUCAUUUUAUUUUUCAUCAACAACCAUAUCGUCACUUUCAUAUUCACUGAAUAUUUCAUCACUACUUUGGUGUUCAUGUAAAAAAAAUUAUGUAAUAGAGCACAAAUAACUACUAUAGAGAGUGUUUUUGUAAAAGAUAAAAAUUUGGUGUAUAAUUUAAAUUUUUAAAAGAUUCCAAAUAAUGAGAUUUGGCCCAAAUACUAGUUUUUUCUAGUAUUUGAGAAUUUGGGUUAUUUGCCAAAUAAUGACAAAUUGUAUGGACAAACACUAUUUGUCAAAUCUUUCCCCAAAUUUUACUUUGAAAAUCUAUGGCCAAACGGGUCUAAUUGUAACUUGCAUGAUAUAUUGAUUCCCCAAUUUUCUCCUAGCCAGUUGGUUAAAAAGAUCACUCCUUCCUAAAAUAUCUCUCUCCAAUAUUUUCUCUUCCUAGUCUUCUUCCAUAAUUCAAGAUAAAAAUAAUUGUUCCUAAUCUUUUUCCCAAAAAUAUAUUUCUUUAAUAUUCACACAAUUUUCUCCUUUAAAUAUUUUCAUACAAUUUUUUUCUUAGUUUUUUAAACACAAUUUUUUCUUCUUUUUCCUAUUUGUAUGCUUUCAUCCCUGAUUUUUUAGUUUUUUUUUUUUAUAAUUUAAAUCUUGAAAAAUAACAAAAUUUAUUAUUAUUUUUUCAGUACGAAAGAUGGUAUCAUUCAUUCAAUACGAAAAUCGAUAACAUGAAUUUUAAAUUCAAAUUGGUAUCAUAGUGUAUGAAUUAGUAUACAAAUUGAUAUCAGUUAAAUAAAUAUCACAAUUUUAUUUUUAUUUAUUUUUAAUUAAAGAGGGCUCAACGACCCAUUUUUUCAUUAAUGUAAAGCAGAUUAUUACAGUGCCCAAAAUCCAAAAGAAAAAAACUUAAUAUAAAACUAAAGAAAAGGAAAGAAAUAAGAAAAGACACAACAAGAAAAUGUCUGGUAAUGUGAAAAUCCAUCAGAUCUGUGCUCUCCUGGUUGGUUUCUUCCAACCUCAGCACAUCCAAAUGGAACCCCAUUGGAGGUGUGAGCUCUCAUAAUUCUUCAAGAUUAUUACUUCUGGUAUUUGAGGUACAGCAAAGCACUACAAUAUCAUGUCAGCCCCCAAUUCUCAGAGAUAUGAUUUAUAGCCAAGUUAGACCAGGUAUUGUAUCCAACUUUUCGUUCCAUAUGUAUCAUCCUAUCUAUUUCUCAAACUUAUGUAGCUUAUGUAAAUAUGCCAUGAGACCCUUAAUUCCGACCAUAAGUUGAGAAAAUUGUGUUUUGCUACUAUCAAUCAUGAUUUCUUUCCCUUUCUAGAUCCCGAUGGGUUGAGUCUCAAGAGACUAAUACCACCAUCUGAGAUAAAAGAUUGGGUGAGAAAGUCACAACUUUUAGUAGCUGAAAAUCAUGUGAACUUUUGCAGAUUACAAAGAAAAAUUGGAGUCAUCAGCUUACCUUCCAUCAAAACUAAUGUCCUGAUUUGGUAUUAGGCGAACACCUCAAUGCUCUCACCAGAUGCAAAUACUCAAACCAUUACGAAAUUACUUCAGACAAUAGUUAACGAAUUUAGAUACUAACAACCAAUUCCCUUUUAUUUCUACCAGAACUUGUAAUCUUCAUAAAUAUGUUAUCAGUGUAUUGAUUUAAUCUACUAGUCUUCUUCUAAUGUGAGGAGUGCCACUCUUGUCCAAGUUUAGAAUUCUCUGCCCUUCCAUAGGAAUGUCUUGGAAAUGGCUAAAUUGAUAAUUACCUGCAAGAUCAAAAACUAGGUUAGCAAAAUAAUCAUCUAGAGUAUUUCCUUCUCGAAAGAUAUGUUGUACUCUCGCUGAUAAUGAUCUCCUCAAAUAGCUUAUGGAAUUGACCUCUAGUGUCACACUCUAAGGGACAUCCCACCUCCCUUCCAAGAUCUGUACCAUGGCCAUAGAAUCAGUUUCAAUAAUGACAUGUGAUAAAUGAUGCUCCUUACAAAAAAACAAUCCUUCUCUAAUAGCUCUAGCUUCAGCUACCAAAUUAGAGGUAUCUUGUAUCUUGAAUCCUUUAGCCACCAUCAAUGAGCCAGAGUAAUCUCUUAUUCAAAAGGCCGCAGAGCUAGGUCCUGGAUUACCCCUAGAUGCACCAUCUGUAUUGCAUUUCACCCAAUUAGUAGGGAGAGGGAUCCAUCUCACAAUGUUAAUGCUAUAGUUAUUUCUAUGCCCCUGUAAAUUAGUAAUGAUAUCCGGCCAACUGUUCCUUCCUAUAUCUCUUUCGAACCUUAUUUUAAUCACCUUCAGAAUAUUGUCAUUAAUCUCCCAAAUGACCUUUCUUUCUGAGAAUGAGCCACCAUGUAAAAUAGUGUUCCUUCUCCUCCACAAACACCACAAAAUGACAAUGGGUGAUUAUCUUCUAAAUUGGAUAUCAUAAUCCAUAAAUAUUAAUUUGUACAAUAAUUUUAUAAAUAAUUAAUAAAAUAUAAAAUUUACUAAGCAUCAAUUUUUAUACUAAUUUUUAUAGUCAUUAUACACAUUACAUAUAAAACAUGUUUAUAUAUAACUGAUAUAAAAAGAUUAAGUAAACCAAUUUGUAUAUUUAUUCCAUACAUAUUAUUUAUAUAUAUCCAUUCUAUAUACAUAUAUAGUUUCCGAUUAUAUAUUGUUUACGCUCCAAACGUGAACAUACCAUAUUAUAUAUCAAUUCCAUAUAAUGCAUAAUUAAAAAAAUCUCUGAUACCUAUUUUAAGACCAAAUGAAUAUGUUAAGAACUCAACAUAAAUAUCAAUUAGUGUAUUUAACGGGUAUAUAAAUUGGUUAACAAUGGUAGAUUAAGCUAAAACAUGAAAAUCAAAUUUAAUACAGUUUUCAUAUAUUAAUAAAAUUUUACUAACAUACAAAUUUGUUGGGCAUCAUUUUUCAUACAUAAUUAGAUACAAUUGGUGGCCUUCAUCUUCACUGAUGCAGAUCUCUCUCAAGUCUCCAACAAGGGUUCAUGAAAAAAUCAAGAAUGACUUGAAGAAGGAAAAAAAUAUUGAAAUAUAGUUAAAGAAUCACUAGUUGAAACUAACUCACAAUUAGUAUUGCUACAAUGGAGAGAAGAUUCACAUGAAUUUCAUCAUGGUUGUGAAUUUUUUUUAAAAAAAAUUAAGGAGAGAUGUUUGAAAUUUCAAGUACUAUUACGAAUUAUUACCUUUUAUGGAGGCAUGUAACAUUAUAAUUCCUAAAUUGUAGUUAGAUAAUUACCUUGGUAACUGCUAUAAAAAAAUGCUUCUUAUUUUCUCUUUCCAAUAUUAAAUAUGAAAAUAAAAUUUAAAUUAAAUAAAUUAAUUUGAAUCUGUUAUCACUAGUAAUUAAGUUGUUGUAUUAGUAAUUCCUAAUUAAUAGAUUUAUAUGAUGUAAUAUAAGAUCUUAAAUACAUAUAAGGAGUAAAUAUGACAAGUCUAAAAACAACCACCUCCCCCAUCCCCACUCUCACCCUCAAUUUACUUUUAACUCUCAAAUUUAUAAAAUUAUAUUUUAGCACUAAUUCUUAGCUAUAAUAAGACAUAUUCCUUCAUUUUUCCUCACCAUUCUAACUAUUAACUAAGCUUGUGCACAAAUCGGUCCAACUCGAAUUGUCGGACAAAAUUUGGAGCGAUUUGGAUAAUAUAAUUUAGUUAUACAAUUCGAAUUUGAUUUACAAAUUCAAGUAUAAAAUAUUAUGAUUUUUUUUAUUGCAUCCGAUCCAAUCAAGAAAUUGAACUGUGUAAACGUGGCUAAAAGUUAUUAAUACCAAAACAUGUGGUUGCAUAUUUGUGAAAAAACUCCGAUAGGUAAUUGAAGUAUUUAUUUAUCAAACAUAUAGGAAUAUUUAUUUUGAGAAGGUUAUUUUUUAGCGUGAAGAAAUAUACAAAGCGUGUCUUAAUAAAAUAUGUUACUAUUAUGCUCGCAAGCUAGUAGUAGCACAAUCUAUUUAUUUAUUUGGAACCCUCGGGGUAAUCGAUAACCUUUGCCACAAUCUCUAUCCGAACAACCACUCAACUUUGUUCUUGCAUACGGACGAGUAGCAUAAAUUAUGAAGCUCUUGUUUUGCCAUUUAUAUGCUAUAAUUAAUAAUGUAUUGGGCAUGUGCAUUUCUAACCGUACAUGCAGGAGUAGUAGGUAUCAGAUGAAUGAAUAGGGAUGAAUGUCAAAAAUUGUUAAGACAAAUAAGAAUUUGAAACAUGUAUCAAUCAUUAUUUUUAUUUCCAAAUAAAUCUAAAUUAUUUAAAAUGUAUGUAAUUAUUAAUUUUUUACAUUCUAUUUUGUGGUGACAAUUUGAGAUUACUAUACGAUGAUAAUUUGAAAAAAUAUUAUUUUAACCUUGAUUGUUUCUUAAAACAUUAUGCAAGUAUUUAUGAAUGGUAGAGAUGUGUAAAAGAUGGCUACAACACAACAAUUACAAACAAAUCCAAUCUAAAAACAUGGAAGAAUUUUAUUAUAAAAAGUCCAAACUCCCAUUGAAGUUUGAUUUAUAUAUAAAGAUGUCCUUGUUCUUUACGUAUUAAAAAUAAAACUUCUUUCUAUUUUGACACAAAGAGUAUAAAGAACCACUAGAAAAUUCAGUAAAGUAUGUUAUUCAAUUCUUGAAAUUAAAAAGAAUGACAAGUUUAAUCAAUCUUGGUCAUAAUCUGAUUAAGUUAAAUGAGGUUUGAACUGUAAAAAUUCUCACAUUCUUUUAAUUCUAAUCAUUCUCCAUUUUCUCUAGCUAUGCCUCUUUCUCCUUCUUCUUUUUUGUUUCUGAAUGAUUUUUUCUCCAUUUUUUCUGUUACUCCAUUGUUAUUGUUUUUCUUCUACCUUACCCUUGCUCUUUUUUCUUCCUCCUCCUCUUUCUCCUUUUAUUUUCUUGUGUGUUCUUGUUGUUCUUCAUCAAUUUAGAAAAAAAACCAUCUAAUUUAUUUGUAUAGUACUGGAUAUUACCUAGAACUAAUAUUCGAUCAUUUGAUAAGCUAAUAAUGUUGUGUUAUAACAAUUGUUUAUAUUGUGAAGUUGCAUUUUCAAGAAAUUUCAAUAACAGUUAUCCAUGUUGCAAUGAGAAAGUUAUUAUAUAAAAACUUUUAAGUUUUUCAUAACAACUAACAAAGAAGUUACAACAAUUAUUGCAAAUGCUACAUAUUAUAUGAAUAGCUUUUAAACAUGUAAAGAAAUUUGUUGCAAUAGUUGAUGUAAUUAAUGCAAUUUUCAAAUGAACAAUUGAAUCUAUUAGAACAACUAAUAAACUUCUUGUGUAUAUAGCAAUAAUUGUUGUACUUGGCAAGCAUUUUCAAACAAGUAAACUACCAAAUUGUACAAUUUCAAGUUCUCUUAUACUUUAAUUUUAUUUACGGGACUAAACCUGAAUGCAAAAUAAAGAUAAAUAAUAAAUUUUAUUUUAGUGCUUCUAAUAUAAAAAAAAAAUAUAACUUACAUAAAUCCCAUAGUUUUAAUAUGAAAUUACAAUAUAUCCCUCAUUAGUUUGUAAUUACAUUAAUCCCUUAAAAAGUAAUACAAAACGGGUACAUAAUAUGUAGCUCGGAUACAUUAUAACAUAAACUGGAUACAUAAUAUGUAGCUCGGAUAUAUUAAAAACUAGCUCGGAUACAUAAUAUGUAGCUCGGAUACAUUAAAUACUGGCUCGGAUACAUUAAUAUGAUACAUUAAAGAAAUAAGGGAUUUUAGAGAUUUUUAAAAAUAGAAGGGGAUAUUGGAAAUAAGGAAAAUAUAAAUGUGUACUUCAGUAAUUUUUCCAAAAAAAAAUGUGUUGAUAAAAAUUGUAUUAGUUCAAUUAGUUGAAACAUACCUAUUGUAUAAUGAUGAUAUCGUAGAUUCGAGCCUUAUUAUAUGUUAAUACUUUUUUUUUAAUUUCAAAAGGAAUGACCUAGUUUGACUUGACACGGAGUUUAAGCAAAUAAAAAAGACUUUUUAAUUUUGUGGUCCUAAAUUAAAGUUAAGUCAAAUGUACCAAAAUAUCUUUAAUCUUGUGAACUUAAACUUGACACGAUAAAUUAAUGGUUUACCAAAAAUAGAAAUGAGUCAUUAUUUUUUAAACAAACUGACAAGAAAAAUACAUUAUUCUUUUUGAAACAGGCUAACAAGGAAAGAAAAGUAUAUUAUUAUUUUUUGAAACAGAGUAAUAAUUAAUAAGAAUUUUAGUACAAUUACAACAGAUGUAAGGCUACAAAUUGUAACUGAAACUACUACUUGUACUAUAGUUACUACGAACACAAAGGGUUUCUAACACUUUGUUUGGAUGGUUGUUACGUAUUGUUUUAUAAUGUAUUAUAUUAUAUUAUAUUAUAUUUGUUGUAUUGUAUUGUACUGUAUUGUUUUAAUGAAUACAAUGUUUAGAUAGAUUGCAACGUUCUCUGUCAUUACAUAAUGUUACACAUCCAUAAUUUGAAUGAUAAGCCUACAAAAAAAGUAGGGUACGGGAUCAGUGGCGGAGCCAGGAUUUUCAGUAAGGGGGUUCAAAAUCUAAAAAUAUAGACACACGAAGUAGCCGAAGGGGGGUCGACAUCUACUAUAUAUACCUAAAAAAUUAUUUUUAACCAUAUAUAAAUCAUAUAAUUUUUCCGCCGAAGGGGGGUCGGAUGACCCCCCUCAUUGUAAGGUGGCUCAGCCACUGUACGGGAUAUAGCUACUAUGAAAAGGUAGGAUAAAAUAUGAAAUAUGAUUCUUAAAUAAUAAAUAAAGACAAAAUGAGAAGAAAAUAUUAAGGUAACGACACGAUAAAACCAAAUUGAUCGUUACAUAAAAAUUAAAAUAUGUCUUUUUAUCGUUACCUAACGAUGAAUUUAAACAAUACGAUAUAAGAACAAAGAACAAAUCUAACUGUUUUUUCUUUUGGCUUAUAUAUUUUGACAUAUAUAACAACUUUUUUUAUUUUGGUUUUAAGACCAAAUGAGCUUGUGGUCAUUAAUUGCCUGCGUAGAUGGUUAAGCUUGAAGAAGUCAACAAAAUUGAGAGAGUUGUACUUUCACCUCACCUAGGUAUUAAGUACGAACUGUAUACUUUUCAAUCAUUUUUACUCACUAGGUAAACCCCACUUGUAAUAGCCUGCUGCAAACUACAUCGAAGAUAUAAAUCGUACUAAGCAAUUACUAUGCAGUAGUUUUUCAAUGUUAAUAUAUACAAUAUUUAAAUAAUUACAUAUUUAUUGUUCAUAUUAAUUGAAAUUUUUAGUUUGUACUCAAUCUUUUACUAAUCAUUAUGUAAUAUUUUUAAAAUUUUUAUUAUUUGUUAAAAUACAACUGAUGUAAUUAUAAUUAAAAGUUGUAGGUAAUUAUAUUUAUAGCUAAUUUCUACUUCUUAAUUUGUUUAAUGCAUUUCAAUUUGAAUCAAUCACGUUUUAAUAUUGACUUUCUAAGAUUGUUAUCAAUUUUUUCAGGUGUCUUUUUAGACAUUUCAAGCUCAAACCAAUUAUAUUAUCGAAUAAUUAAAUUUACAAAAACAUUGACUAACUUUGAAUGUCUUAUAAAGCGUAACAAUCACUAUAAUAUUGAUGAGUUAGACCUAUUUUUAUAAUUUAAGAUAAUACGGAAUAUUAUACAAGUAAAAAUAAUACUCCAAUAAUUGACAUACUAGGUGAUGUCUUAAUACUAUUUUUUUAUAAAUAUUUCUACUACUUCUAGAAUAAUUUUGAUAGUUUAUGUAAUAAUUGACUCAAUUUAAAAAGUUUUUAAGACUAUGAUCAAUAAGAAUUUACCUAGAAUAUAAACAUUUGUGGUAUUAUGUAACGUAUAAUAAUUUAUAUAUAACUAUUUCAGUCCUAUGAAUUAUUACAAAAAAUAUAUAUUAUACUAUCGAUUGAAAUUUAAAAAAAUAUUGUACUAACAAUUGAAAAAGAGAAUUAACUAUCAAAUUUAUAAUUAACUAUUAGAAUAUAUAAAUGAUUACAUAAACAUAAGAUCUCUUUUUUUUAAAUUUAGUUUUAGGUCUCGCAUCCUAUUAAGUUGUCCCCGAUAUUCUGGGUGGGGUGACAUCUCAAUAUAUGUGGUAAAAUCCAUCAAUCACAUACUCAACCUUAGUAUUAUGUCUUCUCCCUUCCUAAAUCUUCCUGCUUUUUACAUCAGGCAUCAUCAUCAGAAUUGUGUUUUCUUUGUGACUUCUUAUUUUUAGCAUCACAGACAUCAUCAUACUCAGUAACAUGUCUUAUGUAACGACUCGAACCGUCGUUAAUUAGGAAAAGCAAAAAUUCGGGAUAAAAUGUUGGUUUGAUGGUAAAGUACCCAGCAGAAAUGGGCCACUAUCCCGUCAGGGCGGACCAGAUGCCGCUAGGGUGCCGGCGCCAGGGCGGGGUAAGUUGGCGCCAGAGUGGGAUAGGCGAGAAAAAAUGUAAAUAACACGAAAUCCUAUUUUCUCCUUUUUCCUAAAAUACCUAAAUUAGUCGUAAAACACCCUAGAAACUCUCAGAAAGCUGCUCUAAGUUUGGAAAUGAAGGAAAAGGAGAUUUCUAGUGUGAGAAUGGUGAUAUCUUGCGGAUUCUUGGCCAAAUUCACCAUCAUGUCGUUCGGAAAACCAGAAAAUUAUCUGUAAUUACUCCGUGCAGCUGCUUGGCGCCCAGUUAGGCUAGGUUUUAUUAAUUGAAUAGUUAUAAAUUUGUGUUCACCACGUAGCAUAUGUAAAUCAACGGUAGAAUUAUGCGUAUGCCCUUGUGCACCGAACAAAAUAUGGUUAAAUCCUAGGAAGAAGCCUUAGAGAAUGAUCUAGAGUUAGGUGAUGGUUGUGAGUCUAUGAUUGUGUGAUGUAUGUUUAUUCUUGUUUCAUUAUGAUACAUGUAUGUAUGUGAAUGUUGCAUUAUUGAUCACACUUGUUGUAAAGGAGAUAGAGGGACGAUGAAUGCCAUGAAUCAUGACUAAAUUGUGUGACCUUGAGAAUAUACUUGUGAUUGUGAUUGUGGUGUGUUGAAUAGAUCGGUUGCCACGUUCCGGCAUAAAUAUGAGAUUGGUUGCCAUGUUCUGACAUAACUAACAUGGAUCAGUUGCCACGUUUUGGCAUAACUAAUUUGGAUCGAUUGCCACGUUCCGGCAUAACUAACUUGGAUCGGUUGCCACGUUCCGAUAUAAAUAUGAGAUUGAUUGGCACGUUUCGGCAUAAAUCUUGGAUCGGGUACCACGUUCCGGUAUGCUAACAGUUUGGGUUUUGGGUUCCAUGAGAGGACCAAUGACUUGACAUAAUUGUGUACUUCGAGGAUUGUGAAAUUGAAUGUGGUUCGUAAUGAUAAAUGAUAUUGUAAUUCCCUGGAGUAGUCGUAUGGUAAUGAGGACUUUUAUCUUAUUGUUCUUUGUGUUGGAUGAACUUGUUGUGUAUGUGGUUGUUGGGUGAAUCGGGAGGCCAAGGGUUCAAGGGUCGUAAUAAUUGAAAGCAAGGGCAGUCCGUAUGUUACAAGGGUGAGAAGUAGAGGUAGUAUACGUGAUGUAAAUGCUUAAGUGGAUUUCACUUGGAAGAAAGGGAUUCGUAUUUAGUGGUUUGAAAGCUUGACGUAAUGUACUAUGUGACCAGGGCUGGGUAAUACGAAGAGAAAGUAAGGGUGUGACGUGAGCGGUUAGUUGGAACGCUUGUAGUUAUAUUUGGGGAUUUUUUGUGUGCUAGAAUAUAUGGUUAGUCUAUGACCAAGUACCUAGUAAGUAGGUUGACUGAAAAGAUUGUUAGUAGUUAGAGUACUAAUGUAAUUUGGAGGUAUUUCGAGAGAGAGUAAAGGUGGAGAAGCGAGUGGUUUUAUUUCAUGAUCUUACUAGUUGGUUUCUUAUGUUAUGUGGUGUGCGUCGAGUUCGUGUGGUUGUACUGAUACUACUCUUGCUAUGUCUUUUGACAUAGACUUGAUGCAGGUUGGUGAUAUUCCAUUAGGUGAAGACGAAAAAAUUCUCCAGCAGCUUCUAUCUUUCUUUCCGCAUGGUGGGAGCGAUGUCUUUUAAAUUAUUAUGUCCAGUUGUACUCUUAAUAGCUCUUGUAUUUGUUUAGACUAGAUUCUUGGGGGUGUUAGUUACUUUACAAGUUUAACUCUAAAUUGUUUAAAUUUUUAUUUAGAGAAAAUACAUAAUUACCCCAUCAAAUUUGUACCAUUUUUUGAAGUAGACGCCUAAAGUUUGCGGGGGGAGUCCUAUUACCCCAUCCAACCAUUUCCAAGAAUUUUAAAUACACUGUUUUUAUAAAAUUUGCAGUCUCAUAAUUUGUGCGUGUGUUUCACCCUCUUACUUGUUUAAUAGUAGGUCGGGUAAAACCCUGACCCACUUACAUUUUAACCCAUAAACCUUUUCAGAAAAAUUCAUGUUCAUCUUUUCCAAUUUCUUUUCCCAAUUCUUUCGAUUUACUUUACUUCAAAAGAUUUAUUUUUUUUGGAUGUUUAUUUAGUGUUUGAUUUUAAUUUGUUUCCCCAAAAAUUAGUUUAAUCCUUUUUAACUUUGUGGGUAUUCCGAAAUCAGCCUAGCUUUGAGUUCUAUAAGUGAAUUUCACAUUUUUUUGAAUUUGUACAAGUAGAUUCUUUGAUACUUUUGUUCUUGGGAAACUAUAUGAACGGAAAUGGGUUCAAAUUUCUUUGUUGAAAGGUAAAUUAUGUGCUAAAUUGACCAAGUAUUUUGUCGUUGUUAAAUAGAUUUUUCUAAUAAAAGACCUUAAGAUGGAUUGCUAGAACUUGAUGAUAGAGUAUACAGUAAAGCAAUUCGCUUCGCGUAGUAAAAAACCAACUUUUGUUGUUGAGAAAAGCUCUCAACAAUCAUUAAUGGUGGUUUUGGGAAGAAGAAACGUGGGUCUCUUUUCACUUUGGUUUAACAAUGCCAUGUGUUAGCUUUUCAUUGGUUUGUGGCUGCAAUUUUACCCUUUCACGCGCUUCUCUAGUGUGAAAUCACAAUUACCUUGAAAAUGAGUCAAAAUGAUGUAUUUAUUGUGGAUUUAAAUGAUUUCGUGGGGUAAUAGGACCUCCGCAAACUUAAGGUGUCUUAUUCAAAAAAGGGUUUAAGUUUGAUGGGGUAAUUAUGUAUUUUCUCUUUUAUUUAUGAAAACUCGAUGAUUUCGUUUAUCUCCGUUUUUCGUUAAUUUUUCCACAUGUUUUAACUUUUGCGAUAUGAUGUUUCUCCUACUUAGACGUUAGAGUGGGUGUCCGCACGGCCCAGUGGGUUGGGUCGUGACAUAUUCUAACUUCAUGAAUUUUCCUACUUUUUACAUCACGAUCACUACCAUCAGAAUCGUCAUCAGAAUCAUGUCUUCUACCUCUCUGUGACUUCUUGUUUUUACCGUCACGACCAUCAUCAUUGUCAUCAGACUUAUGUCUUUAACCUCUUUGUAAGGUCUUGUUUUUAGCAUCACGACCAUCAUCAUAUUUAUUCUCAGCAACAUGUCUUUUCUCUUUCUGAAUCAUCUUGUUUAAGCCAUCACAGUCAUUGCCAUGGUCAUCCUCAUCAGAAUCAUGUCUUCUACCUCUUUGUGAGGUCUUGUUUUUAGCAUCACGACCAUCAUCAUAUUUAUCCUCAGCAACAUGUCUUUUAUCUUUCUGAAUCAUCUUGUUCAUGACAUCACGAUCAUUGUUAUGGUCAUCCUCAUCAGAAUUUGUGAGGUCUUCUUUUUAGCAUCACGACCAUCAUCAUAUUUAUCCUCAGCAACAUGUCUUUUCUCUUUCUGAAUCAUCUUGUUUUUGACAUCACGGUCAUUGUCGUGGUCAUCCUCAAUAAAAUCAUGUCUUCUACCCUGUUGAAGCUUAAUGAUUUUUGCAUCACGGCCAUCAUUAUCACCCACAAAAUGUCUCAUAUGCAAUUUCACGUGUUUCUUCUCAUGAUCAGACUCUGAAUAAGAGUCAGAAUCAGAAUCAGAGGAUGAAUCGUCACUGUGAUGCCGCCUUCUAACCUUCUUGAACUUGAAAGACAACUUUCUUGACUUUUUACCACCAACAGUAUCAGAAUCAGAACUAGCAUGAGCCUUCUUACAGGUUUUCUUAGACUCUUUGGCAUGGAUUUCACUGCUGUCAGUGUUAGACGAAUCGUCACGUCCUCUCCUCUUCUCUUUUUUCUUAUGACGCUUACCCUCGUCCUUUUCUUUUGCCAAGUCAUUAACUUCAGGGGCGUAUCUAGAGGGGGUGUUGUGGGUUCACGUGAACCCAUGCUCCCCUCUCUAGAUCAUAUAUAAUAGUGUUAUAUUUUUUAUAAAAUAUUUAAAUAUAGAUGUGUGAACCCACGUUCAAAGUAUUGUAUUAUACGAUGAUGAUUGGGUGCACCCCUCUAAGUGAGGAUAGAAAUUUAAAUCUUAUAUCUAUCUUGUCUUUUACUAACACCUCUCUCUCUAAGUGGUUAUUGGUUACACUUUUGGCGUUUCAACUAAUUAUUCUUUUGUUUUUUUCCAUUAAUCUUUCAAAAUUUUCAAGUGUGUUACAUUGAAAAUUCCUAAAAAAAUUAGCACUGUAAAAUUUUUAUAUCAUUAAAUCAAAUGUGUAUAUUAAAAUUUAAAACUAGUAGCAUUAUAUGUUUUGGACCUAUAAUUUUUAAAAUUUAAUGGUUCAUAUUAAAAACUUAAAAGUCAAACCGAUCAAAUUUAUAUUUAAGAUACAUUUUUUUUGUAAUUGUGCACCCAUCUUGUGGAAAUCUUGGAUACGCCUCUGAUUAACUUCACCCUCUUCAAAAUGAGCUAAAGCAUCAUGCUGCUUCUUCGGAGUGUCGUGUUCAGCCCCUAUCUUGAGAGCAACUUUUAAGUUUUCCAUUUGAUUUUCUUUCAAAGCAGCGAUCUGGUGUGUUUGUGUUUCCAAAACCCUGGAAUGAACAAGUUUAGUUAUUGCAUAUCAACCUCACGGUAUCUAUAAAAAUACUGAAAAAAUGAUCAAAAUAGUCCCUAAUGUAUGAGGGUUGCAUUAUUUUGAUCCUUAAUAUAUUCAACAUGAUUCAUAUGGUCCUUAAUGUAUUAUAAAAGAUACUCAAUUUGGUCAUUUGCCCUAAAAGUAACAAAUCCAUCAGUUAACUUUAACGUCAGGCCCACUAAAAAAUAAAAUACCAAAAGCUCCCUUUCUCCUUCAUCAGGCAUAGCUGAAAGGGAUAAUUGUACAAAAUGACAAACUUAUAAUCUAAAAUAAAUGGAGUAGCUACUGUUUGAUUUAAUUGCGCCCUGUAGCAAACGUUUGCCAGUCGCCUCUCUCCCUCCAAAUUCUCGCUCGCCACUCUCCCUUUCUCGCUCGCUCCCCCUGUGCUCGCCUCUCUCGCUUUAUACAACAGAAUUGUAUAAAUUGCGUUUUUGUUUGUAUAAAGCGAGAUAAAAUUGUAUAUACACAUGAAAAUACAUAUAUAUUCGUCCUAUACACUUAUAAUUAUACAAUAAAAAUAUUCCCCUGCCUAGUUCUCUUUUGCCUUUCUCUCUUUCUCGUUUUAUACAAACACAGAUUAUACAAUAUAAUGUAAAAUUUAUGUUUGUAUAAUGUAUAAUUUAUGUUUGUAUUAAAGCGAAAGAAAAUUGUUAUAUACACAUGCAAAUACAUAUAUAUUCGUCUUAUACACUUAUACUUAUACAAUACAAAUAUUCCUCUGCCCAGAUCUCUUUUGCCUUUCUCUCUUUCACGUUUUAUACAAACACAGAUUAUACAAAUAUAAUGUAUAAUUUAUGUUUGUAUAAGAGAAAGAGAGCGAUUUUUUAUAUAUAAAUAUUUUUGUCAACGAUUUAUACAAACGAGAGGCUAACAACAAUUUAUACAAAUGGCCUGCCAGCGAAAUUAUACAAAUCUGAAGAGGAGCCAACGAAUUAUACAAUUGCUUCUUUUUGUAUAUAUGUAUAGCGAAAUAGACAUAACUUUCAAUUUGUAUAUGUAUAAGCGAAUUAUACAUAUAUUAUGUUUGUUAUGGAGCGCAAUUAUGCAAACUUUGCUAUAGCAUACAAAUAUGAUUUUUUUGUUUGCUAUAUGUGAAAGUUGCUCCAGCUGAAAAGCUUGGCCUAAUUGUUCUCCCUUCUCCGGUGAUUAUAAUGUUCUAGGCCAUCGACACACCACCGGUCGUCCACCAGUCAGCCGUUGCUCUCCACUUUAGUCCCUCCGCCACCCAUCCUCUAUUCCCACGGUUUAUUAGCCCUAAUCCAAAAUUAGGAUUUCUAAAAAAAUUAUAUGUAUAAUUAAGUUAGAAAAUUAGUUUUUUUUUUACAUUGUUAUUGAUAUUAUAAGAUUUGAUCCUAUAUUUAGAAUUGUUAAUGUCUCUAGUGAGAGCCAAUUGUAUAUGUGUUGUCGUCAUAAUUUUUUUUAACAGACCGUGUCCCUGUGUUUGUGGCAACAUUUUUCAGCUUUAAAAUUUGUCAUAAGGGGUUGAUGAAGCAAAUUUCUAUUUCCUUAUCAAUUCUGCUGGCUCCAAAUAUAAUACAUCUAAACACGAAUGAUAACAGAGUCAAAUCUAGAAAUUCAUUAGCUAGUUUCAACUAGAUUUUUUAUUGGGUAAGACUUACCCGUAUUGGGUGUUUACAUCAAGUCAAUACAUGCAUGUCAUGUGUUUAAAUUUAUUGUACAUUUUACUUAAUCAUAAUUAAUUAACAUAUGUUUUAUUUCAUUAAAUCAUGUAAUAAUGGAAAUUGCAUUAGUUUGGUGUAUACACCUGGUGCGGGUAAGUUUUUUGCAUUUUUAUUGGUGAUUGGAAUAAUGUUGGAUAAAAUAACAUUAAAAAUGUUGGUGUAAUAUACCACAAAUAUAAUAAAUUACAGUUGAAAUAAAAUGAACAAAAAUGAAUAUAUUAAUCUUCAGGCUGAGGCACGGAUAUCUCGCUCUGUUUAAGGAUAUCCAAGCCCACUGUGGCAUAAUCUACACCGAUCCAGCAGUAUCACUCUUGACUUGUCCCCUCCAGGAUACAACAGUCCAACAACGUCGUACAACUCAAACAAAUCCAGAUUAGUUGAAGAGUCCAAAGCUCCACAAAAAAACACUUUCCUUCAACAUAUAAUAUUCUCUUUUGUAUAGUGAAUAUAGUGGAAGACUUAAAAUUUUCUUUGUUUCAACUCUCUCUUUCACUACACGAACCUCAAUAUAAACUUCUUAUCUUUUCUUACAUUAUUUCACUUCUACUUGGAUCCUUCACAAAGGAAGAAACACCACUAUUUAUAGGUGAAGCAGUCUUUCAUAUAAUCAAUGGGUAGAAUGAGGGGUAGUAAUGUGGGUAGAUGUUACAUGAGUUACAAGAAACUAAUGGUCAUAUGAGUUACAAGGAACUAAUGGUCAUAUGAGUUACAAGGAACUAAUGGUCAUAUGAGUUACAAGGAACUAAUGGUCAUAUGAGUUACAAGGAACUAAUGGUCAUAUGAGUUACAAGGAACUAAUGGUCAUAUGAGUUACAAGGAACUAAUGGUCAUAUGAGUUACAAGGAACUAAUGGUCAUAUGAGUUACAAGGAACUAAUGGUCAUAUGAGUUACAAGGAACUAAUGGUCAUAUGAGUUACAAGGAACUAAUGGUCAUAUGAGUUACAAGGAACUAAUGGUCAUAUGAGUUACAAGGAACUAAUGGUCAUAUGAGUUACAAGGAACUAAUGGUCAUAUGAGUUACAAGGAACUAAUGGUCAUAUGAGUUACAAGGAACUAAUGGUCAUAUGAGUUACAAGGAACUAAUGGUCAUAUGAGUUACAAGGAACUAAUGGUCAUAUGAGUUACAAGGAACUAAUGGUCAUAUGAGUUACAAGGAACUAAUGGUCAUAUGAGUUACAAGGAACUAAUGGUCAUAUGAGUUACAAGGAACUAAUGGUCAUAUGAGUUACAAGGAACUAAUGGUCAUAUGAGUUACAAGGAACUAAUGGUCAUAUGAGUUACAAGGAACUAAUGGUCAUAUGAGUUACAAGGAACUAAUGGUCAUAUGAGUUACAAGGAACUAAUGGUCAUAUGAGUUACAAGGAACUAAUGGUCAUAUGAGUUACAAGGAACUAAUGGUCAUAUGAGUUACAAGGAACUAAUGGUCAUAUGAGUUACAAGGAACUAAUGGUCAUAUGAGUUACAAGGAACUAAUGGUCAUAUGAGUUACAAGAAACUAAUGGUCAUAUGAGUUACAAGGAACUAAUGGUCAUAUGAGUUACAAGAAACUAAUGGUUAUAUGAGUUACAAGACACUAACGACCAUGAGAGUUACAAGAAGUAAUGGUCAUAUAAGUUACAACAACUAAUAGUCAUUUAUACUCACUAACAUAUGCACUUAGUAUUUUAUUUUAAUAAUAAAAUACAUAUACACCAACAAAAAAAAUAUCCCAAUAAUAUGAGUCAAUUAUAUAUACACAUUUUGAUAUCAAAUAUCUAAACCUUUAUACUAAAAAAUUCUACACAAAAAAAAUAGCUUGAUAAGAUUUCUAUUUAGAUAAAUAUUUUUAAAAUAUGUGCAUACAUUAUGAAGUAUAUCUAUAAUUACAUACCCAGUUUAUUUCUUUUUUUAUGACCCAUUAGAUUAAAAACAGAAUGUAUGAAACAAAUAGUUUUUGUUUUUUAUAAUUAAAUAUAUGAGUAUAGCUGUAUAAGUUAUUUAUAUUUUUUUAAUUAGAAUAUUUUAUUUUAGAAAAUUUCUUAUUUUUACUUGAGUGUGCUUCUUUACUAUUGCGCUUCAAAGUUUUAUAUUUACUUGAUAAAAAAAAAAAAAAGUCUUAUGGUUACUUAGACAUUACAAUAUUUUUCUUAACGUAUAUACAAGGUUAUUUCUUGAAUAGUUUUUGAUAUUCUCCAAAAAUCAUGAUAUGGAAUUAUAUGGUGAUUCCAUAUCAUGAUUUGAGAUAUUUUAAUACAAAAAUUGAUUCACGAGUUUAUAUUUUGUUAAAACAACCCCACAUUUGUAUCUACUAAUCAUUUAUUUCAUAAGUAAAUAAAAUUUAUAAUCACAUCAUUACUUUUAAAAUUUAUUUAUUCUCACUGACAUAAAAUUUAUUAUUCUCACCAACAUAUAGUCACUUUAACUCACACCAAUCGAUUGUUAAAGUGAAGAAAUAUUUAUGGUCUAUGAGCAUGAAAAUAUAGUUGCGGAUGAUAUUGACCAACAAAUGGCUCAAAGUAACAAUGUUGGUUCGUCUUCUCGGUCACAUGAUCGAGAAAUGAAAGUUCAACGUGAGAAAAUUUUCCGUACUAUGUGGGAGGAUUAUAUUAAAGACUAGUACACUACAAUUUAUGUUCAAUUUUUUUUUUAUUAAAUUAAAGUUAAAUGAAACAAUUACUUAAGUGGAGAACAAAUAGCUUUGUAAUAAUUUAUUAUGCGAUUUUAUAAUUUUUGUUUAUUUGAUAAGAUUGAAUAAACAAUUGGGGCUAUUUUAAUAGUUUUACAACUUAUGGAAUUUUUAUGUUUAUGAGAAAAAUAUACAACACAAAAAUUUCCAUAUCGCAUGUCCAAACAAAACUUCAAAUUUCAUCUCAUGAUUCCAUAUCAUGAUAUCAUAUCAUGAUUUCAUAUCAUGAUACCAUAUCGCAUGGCCAAACGGGCCCAUAACAUCACCAUUAUAGUGUCCACCACUGUGGAUGCAACAAGAAAUUUACAAAAAUACUCUUCCAUUUCAUCAGAAUUACCAUUUCUAACCUUAACAUUCCAUUUUUUAGAAAAUUCAUCAAAUUUAGCAAAUUCAACAUUCCUAUUGUAAAAAAGGGUGAUAUUAAAUGAGUAACAUAGUCAUCCAAGUAUUGAAUGAAUAGCUUUUUUUGGUAUAUAAGUAGGUGAAGAAGAAGGAAAAGGAAUAUAAGGAAGUUGACAAAAUUGUUUAGGUAAAUGAAGAUGAACUCUAUCAUAAGAAUAUUUUUUCCACGUAGGAGAGUAACAAUCUUCUUUUUGAAGAAUGAGAUUUGGUAUACAUAAUUUAUUUAUUCAAAGUCUUUAUAGUUUGACUCUGAAAAAGGAAGUUAUGACAAUUAAAAGUGGACAGAGUCAGGGGCGGAGCAACUGUAGAGGAAGGGGAUUUGGCCGAACCCACUGACUUUUUCGUAGACUCUAUAUUUAUAUUAAAAUAUGAAGUACAAUGUAUAUAUAUAUAUAUAUAUAUAUAUAUAUAUAUUUCCUGCAAACUCAUAAACACACUGAAGCAUUUAGUCCAGUGAUAGUUGAGCACCCAUCGAGAUCAUUCACACCCCAGUGGUCCAGGGGUUCGAAUCUCGGUAGUCACACAAAUUUGGGUUUAUAUAAAAAAAUAAUUAAAAAACAAAAAAUUGUUAAAUGAAAAAUAAAUAGUAUUUGUAUCGUACUCUGAAACUACAAUAUCUGACUAUUGAUUUCUAUUCAUAUUCAAAAAGUUUAACUCAAUUUUUUUUCUCCAAAAGUUAUGAUUCUAACUUUUAUUGUUGAUCUAAUUGUUGCUAUCCAACAUCUGGCCUCCGGUGUAUACUCUUGUCUCUCCCUUUUCAUUUUUUUCCUUAUUUGGUUCCUUAUUUGUUUUUAGUGAAUUGAAUACUUGUAUUUGUUCGUUAAUUUGAUGAUUGUUACUUUAGGUUAAGAUCGGUAUUCUUUUUAAAAAUUUAGAACCAACUGACAUGAAAUCAUGUCUCCACUUCUGCAUAAACUGUGUCUUUUUAUCAUUAUCUAAGGAUGAAUUUAAACGAUACAAUAUAAGAGCACAAGAACAAAUCUAACUAUUUUUUCUUUUGGCUUAUACAUUUUGACAUAUAUAACAACUUUUUUUAUUUUGGUUUUAAGACCAAAUGAGCUUGUGGUCAUUAAUUAACUGCGUAGAUGGUUAAGCUUGAGGAAGUCAACAAAAUUGAGAGAGUUGUACUUUCACCUCACCUAGGCAUUAAGUACGAGCUGUAUACUUUUCAAUCAUUUUUGUGCACUAGGUAAACCCAAACCUGUAAUAACCUGCUGCAAAUCACAUUGAAGAUAUAAAUCGUACUAGGUAAUUUUUAUGCGAUAAUUUUUCAAUGUUAAUAUAUACAAUAUUUAAAUAAUUACAUAUUUAUUGUUCAUAUUAAUUGAAAUUUUUAGUUUGUACUCAAUCUUUUACUAAUCAUUAUGUAAUAUUUUUAAAAUUUUUAUUAUUUGUUAAAAUACAACUGAUGUAAUUAUAAUUAAAAGUUGUAGGUAAUUAUAUUUAUAGCUAAUUUCUACUCCUUAAUUUGUUUAAUUCAUUUCAAUUUGAAUUAAUCACGUUUUAAUAUUGACUUUCUCAGAUUUUUAUCAAUUUUUUUAGGUGUCUUCUUAGACAUUUCAAGCCCAACCCAAUUAUAUUAUCGAAUAAUUAAAUUUAAAAAGACAUUGUCUAACUUUGAAUGUCUUAUAAAGCGUAACAAUCACUACAAUAUUGAUGAGUUAGACCUAUUUUUAUAAUUAAAGGUAAUACGAAAUAUUAUACAAAAUAAAAAUUAUACUCCAAUUGACAUACUAGGUGAUGUCUUAAUGCUAUUUUUUAUAAAUAUUUCUACUACUUCUAGAUAAACAUUUGUGGUAUUGUGUAACGUAUAAUAAUUUAUAUAUAACUAUUUCAGUCCUAUGAAUUAUUACAAAAAAAUUUAUUAUACUAUCAAUUGAAAAAGAGAAUUAGUUAUCAAAUUUAUAAUUAACUAUUAGAAUAUAUAAAUGAUUACAUAAACAUAAGAUCUCUUUUUAAAAAAAUAUUUGACUUUAGGUCUCGCAUCCUAUUAAGCUAUCGCAAUUCUGGCUGGGUGACAUAUCAAUAUAUGUGAUAAAUUUCAAUCUUGUAUCUAUAAAUUACACAAAAACAACUUUUUGGGAUUCAUGUUGUUGACCGUCCGAACUCCGAAAUUACUUUAUUGUAAAUUUAAUUUAACUUAAUUUAAUUUAAAUUAAAGUAAAGAUGAAUUAAUAUUAAUAAUCAUCACAAAAAUAUUCAGAAAAAUUUAAGGGAUAAAUUAUUAAAUUGAAUUACAUAUUAUAAUAGUUAGUAAUAAUUUUUUUACCAAUUUUAAAGAUUUAAAAAUUAAUACUAAAUUGACUAAUUUUCAAAUGAAGUUUAAACAUGAGUCGAUACUCAAAAUUCAACUCUAAGAUUACUACUAAUCUUAAAUUCUCUCACUCACAUUACAUUGCAUAAAAAAAAUUAAAUGUCAUAAUUUAAUUUAACUAACCAACAUUCACAUCCCUUCAUGUCUAAGACUCUAAAAACUCUCACUCAGCAAAAGCAAUAAAUAAUUAUUUAGAGAGCAGAGAGUUGAUAUGUGUGGCUAUGUUUUGGGCAUCAAAUGCAAUCCCAUAAAGUCCUCUUCUUGAUAACCCCACACAAUAGAGUCCAUUCUUCCCCUUCCAAUGUUGUGGAAAUUCUGGCUUUGGUAAUCCAUCUUCAUUCAGCAGAUAAUCAUCUCCCUACACAAUAAACACAUAUAGAAUGCAAAAAAUAAAAUAAAAUUUAGAAUCAUCUGAACUUAUUAUCUUUUUCUUCAAAAACAAAAUUAGAAAACAGAAGAAAAUCACACAACAAAGAAGACAAUUUAAUAUUAUUAUUAGAAUAAAAAAGAAAAGUUUACUUACCUGAAGCCACUUGUGAAUAGUUCUCUUGAAUCCAGUAGAAAAAACAAUACCAUCAAAUUGAUGAAUUUUACCAUUUUCCAACACAACAUCAUUUCCUCUUAUGCCUUUCAUUACAGGUAACACCUGUCACCAUCAUUUUAUUUAAUCACAUGAUUCAGAUACGGUUCGAAUUCCGCGAAUCAAACAGUUUAUGUUACCUGAAUUUCACCGGACUUGAUCUUUUGAUAAGUCCCCACAUCAAAAACAGGGUACUUCCCAUACUUUAUUUUACAAGCAAAUGGUCCUUCUUCUGGCCUUUUCACACCAUAAUAUUUGCUUAUAUCUCCGUACAUCAACUUACUUAACAUCACCAUUAUAGUAUCCACCACUGUAUAUGCAACUUUGUACUUCAACAACAUCAACCCCAAAUAUCCCAUUUCUCUUGAUAUCAAGUGCAUCUGUAACAUACAGACACACGAUUAGAAAUUUGGGAUUUUAAGUUUUAGGACAGAAGAAUGAUAUAACAAAAAUAAAAUAAAAAUAUUAUCAUUAAAUAUUUAUCAAAUAAGAAUGAGUACCCUAUAAGAAAUCAUCUGGAUUACGUAAGAUAAAUUUUAUCCAAUGUCGUACUUUCAAUCUUUCUGCUUCUGGCAUUACCAGUAAUAACAUUUAACCUUCCAUUUUUUAGUAAAUUUAUCAAAUUUAGCAAAUUCAACUUUUCUUUUGUAAAAAGGGGUGAUAUUAAAAUGAGUAACAUAGUUAUCCAAGUAUUGAAUGAAUAGUUUUUUUGGUAUAUAAGUAGGUGAAGAAGAAGGAAAAGGAAUAUAAGGAAGUUGACAAAAUUGUUUAGCUAAAUGAAGAUGAACUCUAUCAUAAGAAUAUUUUUUCCACAUAGGAGAGUAGCAAUCUUCUUUUUCAAGAAUGAGAUUUGGUAUACAUAAUUUAUUUAGACAUGCAGAUGUAGCAAGACCACCAGGCCCAGCACCAACAAUGAUAACCAUAGCUUCUUCAUGAUUAUCAAAUGUUGUCAUGACUAAAAUUGAGAAGAAAAUUUGAUGGUGUUGAG
This 22930-nucleotide long non-coding RNA is filed under the name Solanum tuberosum (potato). Its description in RNAcentral is "long non-coding RNA (STUB_LNC009326)". Lineage: Eukaryota; Viridiplantae; Streptophyta; Magnoliopsida; Solanales; Solanaceae. The record is from RNAcentral.